RNAcentral lists this ribosomal RNA (377 nucleotides) under Parauronema sp. Its description in RNAcentral is "partial small subunit ribosomal RNA". It matches the Rfam family "Eukaryotic small subunit ribosomal RNA", at positions 582 to 975 of the family's 1831-position model. Lineage: Eukaryota; Ciliophora; Oligohymenophorea; Philasterida; Philasteridae. The record is from RNAcentral.
AUUCCAGCUCCUAUAGCGUAUAUUAAAGUUGUUGCAGUUAAAAAGCUCGUAGUUGAAUUUCUGUACAGUCCCGGUUCUGGCUUCGGUCAAGCCGUGGAUUGUGCAUCCGCUUGCAAAUCUAGCUCGGCCUUCACUGGUCGACUAGGGGAGUAAGCCCUUUACUUUGAAAAAAUUAGAGUGUUUCAGGCAGGCAAUGGCUCGAAUACAUUAGCAUGGAAUAAUGGAAUAGGACUUUUGUCCAUUUGGUUGGUUAUUGGACAUGAGUAAUGAUUAAAAGGGACAGUUGGGGGCAUUAGUAUUUAAUAGUCAGAGGUGAAAUUCUUGGAUUUAUUAAAGACUAACUUAUGCGAAAGCAUUUGCCAAGGAUGUUUUCAUUA